CACGUAGGGCGCGAGCGUUGUCCGGAAUUAUUGGGCGUAAAGAGCUCGUAGGCGGCCUGUUGCGUCCGCUGUGAAAGCCCGGGGCUUAACCCCGGGUCGGCAGUGGAUACGGGCAGGCUAGAGGUAGGUAGGGGAGAAUGGAAUUCCCGGUGUAGCGGUGAAAUGCGCAGAUAUCGGGAGGAACACCGGUGGCGAAGGCGGUUCUCUGGGCCUUACCUGACGCUGAGGAGCGAAAGCGUGGGGAGCAAACAGG
RNAcentral lists this ribosomal RNA (253 nucleotides) under uncultured bacterium. Its description in RNAcentral is "partial 16S ribosomal RNA". It matches the Rfam family "Bacterial small subunit ribosomal RNA", at positions 524 to 776 of the family's 1533-position model. The record is from RNAcentral.